Molecule: ribosomal RNA, 585 nt
Filed under: uncultured bacterium
Lineage: Bacteria
Description: partial 16S ribosomal RNA
Rfam family: Bacterial small subunit ribosomal RNA
Source: RNAcentral
UGGGGAAUUUUGGACAAUGGGGGAAACCCUGAUCCAGCCAUCCCGCGUGUGCGAUGAAGGCCUUCGGGUCGUAAAGCACUUUUGGCAGGAAAGAAACGUCGCGGGUUAAUACCCCGCGAAACUGACGGUACCUGCAGAAUAAGCACCGGCUAACUACGUGCCAGCAGCCGCGGUAAUACGUAGGGUGCAAGCGUUAAUCGGAAUUACUGGGCGUAAAGCGUGCGCAGGCGGUUCGGAAAGAAAGAUGUGAAAUCCCAGAGCUUAACUUUGGAACUGCAUUUUUAACUACCGGGCUAGAGUGUGUCAGAGGGAGGUGGAAUUCCGCGUGUAGCAGUGAAAUGCGUAGAUAUGCGGAGGAACACCGAUGGCGAAGGCAGCCUCCUGGGAUAACACUGACGCUCAUGCACGAAAGCGUGGGGAGCAAACAGGAUUAGAUACCCUGGUAGUCCACGCCCUAAACGAUGUCAACUAGCUGUUGGGGCCUUCGGGCCUUGGUAGCGCAGCUAACGCGUGAAGUUGACCGCCUGGGGAGUACGGUCGCAAGAUUAAAACUUAAAUGAAUUGACGGGGUCAUAGCUGUUUCCU